AUUGAACGCUGGCGGAAUGCUUUACACAUGCAAGUCGAACGGGAGUAGCAAUACUCUAGUGGCGAACGGGUGAGUAAUACAUCGGAACGUACCCUGACGUGGGGGAUAACACAUCGAAAGGUGUGCUAAUACCGCAUACGUCCUGAGGGAGAAAGCGGGGGAUCGCAAGACCUCGCGCGUUUGGAGCGGCCGAUGGCGGAGUAGCUAGUUGGUGGGGUAAAGGCCUACCAAGGCGACGACCCGUAGCUGGUCUGAGAGGACGACCAGCCACACUGGGACUGAGACACGGCCCAGACUCCUACGGGAGGCAGCAGUGGGGAAUUUUGGACAAUGGGGGAAACCCUGAUCCAGCCAUUCCGCGUGAGUGAAGAAGGCCUUCGGGUUGUAAAGCUCUUUCGGCAGGAACGAAACGGUGAGGGCUAAUAUCCCUUAUCAAUGACGGUACCUGAAGAAGAAGCACCGGCUAACUACGUGCCAGCAGCCGCCGUAA
Molecule: ribosomal RNA, 490 nt
Filed under: uncultured bacterium
Lineage: Bacteria
Description: partial 16S ribosomal RNA
Rfam family: Bacterial small subunit ribosomal RNA
Source: RNAcentral